Molecule: long non-coding RNA, 1534 nt
Organism: Betta splendens (Siamese fighting fish)
Lineage: Eukaryota; Metazoa; Chordata; Actinopteri; Anabantiformes; Osphronemidae
Exons: 3
Source: RefSeq, a predicted model, not a curated record
UUUGAUGUCAGAUGAAAUUUCACUGAGCGGCCCAGCACAAUCUGAUGCAGGCUGGCUUCCUCUGGCAGCCCCAUCGCCGCGUAGCGUUCCACCCACAGGACAUGAAAAAUGCAUCCGCGCUACCGAGAAGGGCGCGUGUUUGUGAGUCUGUGCACUUGUCGGCGUGUUUAAAAGAAGAAGUUGAAGAGUCGAAAAGGCUUCGGCUGUUCAAAUACCGGGGAGCAAAUAGUUUGGUCAAGUAGACAGGAGGCGUCGCGCGCGGCGAAUGAACUGACGCCAUGGAAACGAUAAGCCUGUGUUCAGACACACGCUCGUGUGUUGAUUAUUUAUUCAGGAUAAUUGGAAAACUGCUUGGAAACGACGGACACGUGGUGGUGCGCGAGAAGCUGCUAGAUGCAGCACGCCAGACACAAAGGUUAACAAGAGCAACGGGUGGCGAGGGGCUGAUGGAGAUUCAAGCAAGGAAGCAGCUUUGUUCUCACAGCGGAGUAAAAGGACAAAAGGUGCAGCGAGGACACGUCCCGCGACUGGUCUGGAGAUGACGACCCAUUGUCACAUCAAGGAGUGAAGUUCUCAUGCUGUGGUGGGAGCCAUUAGGCCCCGUUUCAGUCCAUCUCUCCCACUUUGAUUUCGCUCGAAAGACAAAGGAACAUGAGGAAAUCAAGCAACAACAGGAAACUGUCAUCGGGCGCGGGCGACUAACGACUUCAUGGGAAUCAGAUAUCGUCGUCAGUUGAAUAAAUCCUGCAGAGGAGCUGCAGCCCGUUACUGAGAGAAAUGGAACAUGCUCUGAUGCGUGAUGUGUGGAUGCUUUUCCACCAUGUGGAGCACCUGAUAACCCAAACUGCUGUUCCUGCCCCCCCGCCCCUCCUCUUCUGUGGUGCCCACUGUGACCUUGUUUCCCGAUGAGACGGUUCCCUUCCUCCCUCCGCUUCUUAUCGCUAAGAGGACAUUGAUGGAUGGCGGCGAGUAGCUGCUGUGCUGUCCAGGGCGCGAGGUCAGAGCAGCGGUCCCCUCAAACGGUGACGUAAUGCUAAUUCCAGGUCAUUAGCGAGACCCGCGGACUCUUAAAAAGGAGGAUUUCCAAAUAAAUGACGUGUUUAGACGAGUUAAGCAUUAAUUCAUUAGCCUUUCUUCGUAUGUGCAUGUGAGCCAGGGCUUACGGAGAUUAAAGAGGGCCCUGCAACAUGUGUACAAAUAUCAGCUAAUUCACAUUAUGCAGCUUUUUGCCCACAGGUUAUGAAGGAUUAGGAUGAUUUCACAUUCCGUCGAGGCUCAGAGAAUCACAGCGCCUCAGUCGCCGACUAUUUUGGGAUGCUGAUAAUAGUUCUUGUCAGCCAUAAUUUUUAAGUACUUUAACCAAUUCAUUGUAUAAUUAGGUUAACAAAAUUAGCUCAUUGCAAAGUCAGUCAGAAGGCGGUAAUGCAAUAAAGUUAUUAACAUUCCAGAUUUAUAGAACCAUUAAUAUAGAGGCAAUCUGUCUCUUUCAUACGUUGCUUCGCUGGUAAAAAUGGCAUAAAUUAAUAAAGGGAAA